Molecule: long non-coding RNA, 235 nt
Filed under: Elaeis guineensis (African oil palm)
Lineage: Eukaryota; Viridiplantae; Streptophyta; Magnoliopsida; Arecales; Arecaceae
Description: long non-coding RNA (EGUI_LNC064376)
Source: RNAcentral
AGGUCGGUUGUUAUCCAGAGUUAUUGGCUUAUGUCAUCCUCCUCGGACCAAACUUACAAUGGGGUCCAGGUUAUUUUGGUCUUAUGCCAAAGUAUCUCGUUUGGUGAAAAAUGGCUCACUUGAAUGACUUAUUCCUCAAUACUUGCCUGCCACUCCCAAGUCCAAGGUGGGUUCCUCACUUUGGACAAUGAGAGUAGUUUGUUGAGUGAGCCAUUUUUGAUCAUCGGGUGCAUCC